AUUGAACGCUGGCGGAAUGCUUUACACAUGCAAGUCGAACGGUAGAGGGGGCAACCCCUCGAGAGUGGCGAACGAGUGAGUAAUAUAUCGGAACGUGCCCAGUCGUGGGGGAUAACGUAGCGAAAGUUACGCUAAUACCGCAUACGAUCUAAGGAUGAAAGCGGGGGAUCGCAAGACCUCGCGCGAUUGGAGCGGCGGAUAUCAGAUUAGGUAGUUGGUGGGGUAAAGGCUCACCAAGCCAAGGAUCUGUAGCUGGUCUGAGAGGACGACCAGCCACACUGGAACUGGGACACGGUCCAGACUCCUACGGGAGGCAGCAGUGGGGAAUUUUGGACAAUGGACGCAAGUCUGAUCCAGCCAUUCCGCGUGCAGGAUGAAGGCCCUCGGGUUGUAAACUGCUUUUGUACGGAACGAAAAGGUCUCUCUUAAUACGGGGGGCUCAUGACGGUACCGUAAGAAUAAGCACCGGCUAACUACGUGCCAGCCGCCGCGGUAA
This 496-nucleotide ribosomal RNA is filed under the name uncultured bacterium. Its description in RNAcentral is "partial 16S ribosomal RNA". It matches the Rfam family "Bacterial small subunit ribosomal RNA", at positions 30 to 523 of the family's 1533-position model. The record is from RNAcentral.